Molecule: ribosomal RNA, 305 nt
Filed under: uncultured bacterium
Lineage: Bacteria
Description: bacterial SSU rRNA
Rfam family: Bacterial small subunit ribosomal RNA
Source: RNAcentral
UCCUACGGGGCGCAGCAGUGAGGAAUAUUGGUCAAUGGUCGGGAGACUGAACCAGCCAAGCCGCGUGAGGGAGGAAGGUACAGAGUAUCGUAAACCUCUUUUGUCAGGGAACAAAGGCGGGGACGUGUCCCCGGAUGAGCGUACCUGAAGAAAAAGCAUCGGCUAACCCCGUGCCAGCAGCCGCGGUAAUACGGAGGAUGCGAGCGUUAUCCGGAUUUAUUGGGUUUAAAGGGUGCGCAGGCGGUCUGUUAAGUCAGCGGUCAAAGCCCGGGGCUCAACCCCGGCCCGCCGUUGCAACUGGCAGG